AAAGGGAUAGGUGUGUCUGAGCUAAGCCUUUCCUCGGGCGGGGCUUGAUGUGGCUGCUGUGGUGGUUGGGGGUGCAGUUCCCAGGCCAAUGGAGUUAUGUUCCCAGGGGGAUUAUGGCUGCCUCUGUUGAGUCACACAGGUCACCAGGGAAGUGGGGGAAAGCUGGCAGUCACAGGCCUCACCCCUCUCCCACACAGCCCUCAGUCCUAAAGGCUGGUCUCACUCCCAUCCUGCCACGCAACAGCACAGGGUCUAUUUCGAGACAGCCAGUGACCAGGGCUGAGAACUUGCCCCAGACCACCAGCCUCCUCACUGAGAAAGCAAGCAGAAUCACAGUUUUUUGGAAUCUCAGGGAGCCUUCAGCGGCAAUCCAGUUCCUUCAAAGGGUCUGUGGAUUCUCUCAGUUUUCAUGAAGCUGGCAUGUAAUUCUCGUUAACUCCAUGAGCAGAGUUUCAAUACUGCCCUGACCAAUGGGCAAAGAUGAUUCCCAG
Molecule: long non-coding RNA, 491 nt
Filed under: Homo sapiens (human)
Lineage: Eukaryota; Metazoa; Chordata; Mammalia; Primates; Hominidae
Description: HSALNT0020966
Source: RNAcentral